Molecule: ribosomal RNA, 305 nt
Filed under: uncultured bacterium
Lineage: Bacteria
Description: bacterial SSU rRNA
Rfam family: Bacterial small subunit ribosomal RNA
Source: RNAcentral
GCCUACGGGGGGCAGCAAUAGGGAAUUUUCGUCAAUGGGCGCAAGCCUGAACGAGCAAUGCCGCGUGAACGAGGAAGGUCUUCGGAUCGUAAAGUUCUGUUGAAGGGGAAAAAGAGCGGAGAGAGGAAAUGGUCUCCGAUUGAUAUUACCCUUCGAGGAAGUCACGGCUAACUACGUGCCAGCAGCCGCGGUAAUACGUAGGUGGCGAGCGUUAUCCGGCAUGAUUGGGCGUAAAGGGGGCGUAGGCGGCCUGCUAAGUCUGGAGUGAAAGGUACCGGCUCAACCGGUACAGGCUCUGGAAACUG